This 478-nucleotide ribosomal RNA is filed under the name mixed culture ruminal bacterium PAD294. RNAcentral describes it as "bacterial SSU rRNA". It matches the Rfam family "Bacterial small subunit ribosomal RNA", at positions 49 to 507 of the family's 1533-position model. The record is from RNAcentral. Lineage: Bacteria; Bacillati; Bacillota; Bacilli; Lactobacillales; Streptococcaceae.
UAAUACAUGCAAGUUAGAACGCUGAAGACUUUAGCUUGCUAAAGUUGGAAGAGUUGCGAACGGGUGAGUAACGCGUAGGUAACCUGCCUACUAGCGGGGGAUAACUAUUGGAAACGAUAGCUAAUACCGCAUAACAGCAUUUAACACAUGUUAGAUGCUUGAAAGGAGCAAUUGCUUCACUAGUAGAUGGACCUGCGUUGUAUUAGCUAGUUGGUGAGGUAACGGCUCACCAAGGCGACGAUGCAUAGCCGACCUGAGAGGGUGAUCGGCCACACUGGGACUGAGACACGGCCCAGACUCCUACGGGAGGCAGCAGUAGGGAAUUUUCGGCAAUGGGGGCAACCCUGACCGAGCAACGCCGCGUGAGUGAAGAAGGUUUUCGGAUNCGUAAAGCUCUGUUGUAAGAGAAGAACGUGUGUGAGAGUGGAAAGUUCACACAGUGACGGUAACUUACCAGAAAGGGACGGCUAAUUACGUG